Nicotiana attenuata is the source of this 73-nucleotide non-coding RNA. NCBI's taxonomy places the organism in Eukaryota, Viridiplantae, Streptophyta, Magnoliopsida, Solanales, Solanaceae. The record is from Rfam.
GGGGAUAUAGCUCAAAUGGUAGAGCGCUCGCUUUGCAUGCGAGAGGUACAUGGUUCAAUCCCCUGCAUCUCCA